GACGAACGCUGGCGGCGUGCUUAACACAUGCAAGUCGAACGGAAAGGCCCUGCUUUUGUGGGGUGCUCGAGUGGCGAACGGGUGAGUAACACGUGAGUAACCUGCCCUUGACUUUGGGAUAACUUCAGGAAACUGGGGCUAAUACCGGAUAGGAGCUCCUGCUGCAUGGUGGGGGUUGGAAAGUUUCGGCGGUUGGGGAUGGACUCGCGGCUUAUCAGCUUGUUGGUGGGGUAGUGGCUUAUCAAGGCUUUAACGGGUAGCCGGCCUGAGAGGGUGACCGGCCACAUUGGGACUGAGAUACGGCCCAGACUCCUACGGGAGGCAGCAGUGGGGAAUAUUGCACAAUGGGCGGAAGCCUGAUGCAGCAACGCCGCGUGCGGGAUGACGGCCUUCGGGUUGUAAACCGCUUUCGCCUGUGACGAAGCGUGAGUGACGGUAAUGGGUAAAGAAGCACCGGCUAACUACGUG
This 468-nucleotide ribosomal RNA is filed under the name uncultured bacterium. Its description in RNAcentral is "partial 16S ribosomal RNA". It matches the Rfam family "Bacterial small subunit ribosomal RNA", at positions 28 to 507 of the family's 1533-position model. The record is from RNAcentral.